CAGGAGUAAUUGGCCAAAUUGCUUGAACAGAACCUUUUCCAAAACUUUUUUCACCAACAAUAAUUGCUCUUUUAUGAUCUUGCAAAGAACCACUAACGAUUUCACUUGCACUAGCACUUCCUGGAUCAAUUAAAACAACCAUUGGAAUAUCUUUAUAAGUUCCGAAACUAUGAGCUUUAAAUUCUUUUAUAUCCUCUUUAUUUCGACCUCGUUGAGAAACAAUAAUUCCGUCAUCAACAAAUAAAUCAACCAAACCAACUGCUUGACUUAAAAGACCACCUGGGUUA
RNAcentral lists this non-coding RNA (287 nucleotides) under marine eukaryotic metagenome. The record is from RNAcentral.